CAAUGGCUCAAUUGUGUUUAACUCU
RNAcentral lists this non-coding RNA (25 nucleotides) under Cricetulus griseus (Chinese hamster). Lineage: Eukaryota; Metazoa; Chordata; Mammalia; Rodentia; Cricetidae. The record is from RNAcentral.